This 450-nucleotide ribosomal RNA is filed under the name uncultured bacterium. RNAcentral's name for it is "partial 16S ribosomal RNA". It matches the Rfam family "Bacterial small subunit ribosomal RNA", at positions 354 to 796 of the family's 1533-position model. The record is from RNAcentral.
GUGGGGAAUUUUGGACAAUGGGCGCAAGCCUGAUCCAGCAAUGCCGCGUGCAGGAUGAAGGCCUUCGGGUUGUAAACUGCUUUUGUACGGAACGAAAAGCCCUGGGUUAAUACCCUGGGGUCAUGACGGUACCGUAAGAAUAAGCACCGGCUAACUACGUGCCAGCAGCCGCGGUAAUACGUAGGGUGCGAGCGUUAAUCGGAAUUACUGGGCGUAAAGCGUGCGCAGGCGGUUUUGUAAGACAGAGGUGAAAUCCCCGGGCUCAACCUGGGAACUGCCUUUGUGACUGCAAGGCUAGAGUACGGCAGAGGGGGAUGGAAUUCCGCGUGUAGCAGUGAAAUGCGUAGAUAUGCGGAGGAACACCGAUGGCGAAGGCAAUCCCCUGGACCUGUACUGACGCUCAUGCACGAAAGCGUGGGGAGCAAACAGGAUUAGAAACCCCAGUAGUCC